GGGUUGUGAGGUUAAGCGACUAAGCGUACACGGUGGAUGCCCUGGCAGUCAGAGGCGAUGAAGGACGUGCUAAUCUGCGAAAAGCGUCGGUAAGGUGAUAUGAACCGUUAUAGCCGGCGAUGUCCGAAUGGGGAAACCCAGUGCAAUUCGUUGCACUAUCGUUAACUGAAUACAUAGGUUAACGAGGCGAACCGGGGGAACUGAAACAUCUAAGUACCCCGAGGAAAAGAAAUCAACCGAGAUUCCCCCAGUAGCGGCGAGCGAACGGGGAGCAGCCCGGAGUCUGAAUCAGCUUGUGUGUUAGUGGAAGCGUCUGGAAAGUCGCAGGGUACAGGGUGAUACUCCCGUACACUAAAACACACAGGUUGUGAACUCGAAGAGUAGGGCGGGACACGUGGUAUCCUGUCUGAAUAUGGGGGGACCAUCCUCCAAGGCUAAAUACUCCUGACUGACCGAUAGUGAACCAGUACCGUGAGGGAAAGGCGAAAAGAACCCCGGCGAGGGGAGUGAAAAAGAACCUGAAACCGUGUACGUACAAGCAGUAGGAGCCCACUAGUUGGGUGACUGCGUACCUUUUGUAUAAUGGGUCAGCGACUUAUAUUCUGUAGCAAGGUUAACCGUAUAGGGGAGCCGCAGGGAAACCGAGUCUUAACUGGGCGUUAAGUUGCAGGGUAUAGACCCGAAACCCGGUGAUCUAGCCAUGGGCAGGUUGAAGGUUGGGUAACACUAACUGGAGGACCGAACCGACUAAUGUUGAAAAAUUAGCGGAUGACUUGUGGCUGGGGGUGAAAGGCCAAUCAAACCGGGAGAUAGCUGGUUCUCCCCGAAAGCUAUUUAGGUAGCGCCUCGUGAACUCAUCUUCGGGGGUAGAGCACUGUUUCGGCUAGGGGGUCAUCCCGACUUACCAACCCGAUGCAAACUACGAAUACCGAAGAAUGUUAUCACGGGAGACACACGGCGGGUGCUAACGUCCGUCGUGAAGAGGGAAACAACCCAGACCGCCAGCUAAGGUCCCAAAGUCAUGGUUAAGUGGGAAACGAUGUGGGAAGGCCCAGACAGCCAGGAUGUUGGCUUAGAAGCAGCCAUCAUUUAAAGAAAGCGUAAUAGCUCACUGGUCGAGUCGGCCUGCGCGGAAGAUGUAACGGGGCUAAACCAUGCACCGAAGCUGCGGCAGCGACACUAUGUGUUGUUGGGUAGGGGAGCGUUCUGUAAGCCGUUGAAGGUGGCCUGUGAGGGUUGCUGGAGGUAUCAGAAGUGCGAAUGCUGACAUAAGUAACGAUAAUGCGGGUGAAAAACCCGCACGCCGGAAGACCAAGGGUUCCUGUCCAACGUUAAUCGGGGCAGGGUGAGUCGACCCCUAAGGCGAGGCCGAAAGGCGUAGUCGAUGGGAAACAGGUUAAUAUUCCUGUACUCGGUGUUACUGCGAAGGGGGGACGGAGAAGGCUAUGUUGGCCGGGCGACGGUUGUCCCGGUUUAAGCAUGUAGGCGGAUGUUCCAGGUAAAUCCGGAACGUUAUUAACGCUGAGGUGUGAUGACGAGGCACUACGGUGCUGAAGUGACAAAUGCCCUGCUUCCAGGAAAAGCCUCUAAGCAUCAGGUAACAUCAAAUCGUACCCCAAACCGACACAGGUGGUCAGGUAGAGAAUACCAAGGCGCUUGAGAGAACUCGGGUGAAGGAACUAGGCAAAAUGGUGCCGUAACUUCGGGAGAAGGCACGCUGAUGGUAGGUGAAGUGACUUGCUCAUGGAGCUGAAAUCAGUCGAAGAUACCAGCUGGCUGCAACUGUUUAUUAAAAACACAGCACUGUGCAAACACGAAAGUGGACGUAUACGGUGUGACGCCUGCCCGGUGCCGGAAGGUUAAUUGAUGGGGUUAUCCGUAAGGAGAAGCUCUUGAUCGAAGCCCCGGUAAACGGCGGCCGUAACUAUAACGGUCCUAAGGUAGCGAAAUUCCUUGUCGGGUAAGUUCCGACCUGCACGAAUGGCGUAAUGAUGGCCAGGCUGUCUCCACCCGAGACUCAGUGAAAUUGAACUCGCUGUGAAGAUGCAGUGUACCCGCGGCAAGACGGAAAGACCCCGUGAACCUUUACUAUAGCUUGACACUGAACACUGGUCCUUGAUGUGUAGGAUAGGUGGGAGGCUUUGAAGUGUGGACGCCAGUCUGCAUGGAGCCAUCCUUGAAAUACCACCCUUUAAUGGCUGGUGUUCUAACGUGGGCCCCUAAUCGGGGUUGCGGACAGUGUCUGGUGGGUAGUUUGACUGGGGCGGUCUCCUCCUAAAGAGUAACGGAGGAGCACGAAGGUCAGCUAAUCCUGGUCGGACAUCAGGAGGUUAGUGCAAUGGCAUAAGCUGGCUUGACUGCGAGCGUGACGGCGCGAGCAGGUGCGAAAGCAGGUCAUAGUGAUCCGGUGGUUCUGAAUGGAAGGGCCAUCGCUCAACGGAUAAAAGGUACUCCGGGGAUAACAGGCUGAUACCGCCCAAGAGUUCAUAUCGACGGCGGUGUUUGGCACCUCGAUGUCGGCUCAUCACAUCCUGGGGCUGAAGUAGGUCCCAAGGGUAUGGCUGUUCGCCAUUUAAAGUGGUACGCGAGCUGGGUUUAGAACGUCGUGAGACAGUUCGGUCCCUAUCUGCCGUGGGCGCUGGAGAAUUGAGGGGGGCUGCUCCUAGUACGAGAGGACCGGAGUGGACGCAUCACUGGUGUUCGGGUUGUCAUGCCAAUGGCAUUGCCCGGUAGCUAAAUGCGGAAGAGAUAAGUGCUGAAAGCAUCUAAGCACGAAACUUGCCCCGAGAUGAGUUCUCCCUGACUCCUUGAGAGUCCUGAAGGAACGUUGAAGACGACGACGUUGAUAGGCCGGGUGUGUAAGCGCAGCGAUGCGUUGAGCUAACCGGUACUAAUGAACCGUGAGGCUUAACCUUACAACGCCGAAG
Molecule: ribosomal RNA, 2927 nt
Filed under: Klebsiella michiganensis
Lineage: Bacteria; Pseudomonadati; Pseudomonadota; Gammaproteobacteria; Enterobacterales; Enterobacteriaceae
Description: 23S ribosomal RNA
Rfam family: Bacterial large subunit ribosomal RNA
Source: RNAcentral